This 269-nucleotide long non-coding RNA is filed under the name Malus domestica (apple). Its description in RNAcentral is "long non-coding RNA (MDOM_LNC016032)". Lineage: Eukaryota; Viridiplantae; Streptophyta; Magnoliopsida; Rosales; Rosaceae. The record is from RNAcentral.
AAAGCGCAAUUUACAAAGUUUCUGUGAGCCUUUAUUUUCUUUCAAAUUUAUCCUUUUCUUUUACAAACAAGGGACCACUUUCAUGAACCAAAUUAAGCUGCUAAUUAACAUCAUUAAAUUUUGCUACGCAAUAAUAUUAAAACAGAUCAACUUACUUGAAUCCAAAAUAUUGUAAACAAUUAACAGAAAAUUAAGGAAUAACAAAGGAAAUUGAAAACGAGAGGGCAAGAGAUCUGAUGACUUUACCAGCAUCUGAAAACGCAUAAAAU